This 465-nucleotide ribosomal RNA is filed under the name uncultured bacterium. Its description in RNAcentral is "partial 16S ribosomal RNA". It matches the Rfam family "Bacterial small subunit ribosomal RNA", at positions 28 to 507 of the family's 1533-position model. The record is from RNAcentral.
GAUGAACGCUGGCGGCGUGCUUAACACAUGCAAGUCGAACGGAAAGGCUCCUGCUUGCAGGGAUACUCGAGUGGCGAACGGGUGAGUAACACGUGGGUGAUCUGCCCUGCACUUCGGGAUAAGCCUGGGAAACUGGGUCUAAUACCGGAUAGGACGAUGGUUUGGAUGCCAUUGUGGAAAGUUUUUCGGUGUGGGCUGAGCUCGCGGCCUAUCAGCUUGUUAGUGGGGUAAUGGCCUACCAAGGCGUCGACGGGUAGCCGGCCUGAGAGGGUGUACGGCCACAUUGGGACUGAGAUACGGCCCAGACUCCUACGGGAGGAAGCAGUGGGGAAUAUUGCAGAAUGGGCGCAAGCCUGAUGCAGCGACGCCGCGUGGGGGAUGAAGGCCUUCGGGUUGUAAGCUCCUUUCGCUAGGGACGAAGCGCAAGUGACGGUACCUGGAGAAGAAGCACCGGCUAACUACGUG